Panonychus citri (citrus red mite) is the source of this 5036-nucleotide long non-coding RNA. RefSeq lists it as uncharacterized. The record is from RefSeq and is a predicted model, not a curated record. Lineage: Eukaryota; Metazoa; Arthropoda; Arachnida; Trombidiformes; Tetranychidae. The transcript has 7 exons.
GAUUAUUCUUUUCUUUUUUUUUCUACCUUCAUCCUUAUGUCCAUCAUCGUCAUGAUCAUGGUGACACAAAGAUAGAAACACCAAAAGUAACAGAUAGGGAGGAAUAUAAGUGAAGAUGGAAGGAAGAAAUGAAAUUAAAAUGAUGAGAAAAGAGUUGAUUUGGUAAAGCAACUUGAAGGAUUUUCGGAGACGAUGAGUUAAUCAUUUUGAUGGAGAAGAUGAAGAUAAAUCAUAUCUUGAGACAAUUAAGAGACAAUUUAGUAAACAGUUUGAUCGGUGAAAACGAAACAAUCAAAUCUAAAGAGAAAACAAUUGACAUAAUGACAAUUGAGAUUCUUAUCUACACUUGAGGAGAAAUGAUAUUCCAAUGACCGGUGAUCAUGUUGACAAAGAAAAAGAGAAAAACUGUCAAAGAGAAAAGAACAUUUUUUUUUGUUCUAAUUCUUUUUUCAUUUUUGUUCUUUUCCAAAUGAAAUUGUUAAUUUUUGUUCCCAAUUAAGAGCCAAUGGUUAAUGUAGACAAUCAGCUUAUUAGCAAUUAACGAAUUUCAUCUUUAAUUAAACAACGAUUUUCAAAGAUAAAAGUGAUUCUAAUUGUGAUUAAAUGUCGUCUACUAAUCAAGGAGAUAAAUUGUCAGAAUUACAUGGGAACAAACAACCAGAUUACUUUGUGUAUGGUUAAUGUAUCUCAUCUUUACCUGAACACCAACUCACCUGAUCCUUGAAAUUGAACAUUAACUAAUUGUUUGGAUUUAAACUCUGUGGCCAGUAAUCAGAUUUAAUACUCUAUCUCCUUAAUUGUUACGUUCAUUAACCAUUGGAUUUUGUACAAAUCGUUUUGUCGCCUUUUUCGCGUGUAAGUUUAUCCAAAAUUUGUUAUUCCAUUUUCAGUCUUAUUCUAAUCCAAUCUUUUAUUUUCUCUUUCAUUUUAUUUGCUUGACACAAAAUGGUGACAAAUCUUAUGAGAGAUUGACCCAAGUCACUUAAUCACGCGAUGGUCAAAAAAAAACGUCACAACAUAAUCAUGAUAAUGAAUUGGUUUCUCUUUAAUACUGAAUAUCAUGAUAAUCUUUUGUUUUAAUUAUUUCUCCACUUAAUUAAACAAAAGAUUGGAUAAUAUCAUUUUACUAAUUGGACAAAUGAACGUCACUUUUUCAUGUUGCAGUCUGUUAAAUCUCAAGUUGGUAUCCCAUUAUCAUCAUCAUCAUCAUCAACAUAUCACAAUCAACCAUCAACAUAAUCAGCUUUGUCUAAUUUUCUUUGGAUUCUCUGUUUUUUUAUCGCUGAUAAUGACAGUUUUAUGCACCAAUCAAAUUUGAUCAACAAGAAGAUCGCUGAAACUUGAUUCUCUUUAAUUUUCAGCCUAUUCUUUCAUCAUCAUCAUCGUUUUGUGAUUCUACUUCAAGCUUACCAUAGGUUAAGGAAUGAAUAACGAGAAAGACCAAAAGAGAAAAGAAAAAAAAAGGAUUUCCAGUUUAUCAUGCAAAUGCUUUUCUUUUGUUUCCAUUGAUUGACAUUGUAUCAAGGUCGAUAUUGAACUCAGCUAUCCAAGGAGAAAGAAGAAAAAUCUUAUAAGGAAAAAGACCUGAACAAUGAAAGAUGAUUAAGGAAAAGAGUGAUGAUGAAGAGAGAAAAAAUCUUUCUUGGUUAACACGUCAAAUCUUCUAACGUCCAUUAACAAUAUUACAAAAAGGGUUACAUGGUGAAUCGUAACAAGACCAGAAUUGGAUGAUGAUGAAAAAGGAAAGGCCCAAGAAAAUGAUGAAGACUUGGAGAUGAAGAAAUUUCCUAAGACAGACAGAGGAGUAAAAAGGAAAAGGAAAGGAUUUUUUUUCUGUUUCCUGUUCAUGUAACUGUUCCAGUUGUUGUUGUUUAUGGUAUUGUUAUUUGUUACUGUUGUUUGGAUCAUUUUUGUUGAUGGUAAACUCUUGUAUUCAGUUUACUCUUAUGGUGAUUAACCAAACAUCAAUGUAGUCAUUUCACCAACAACAUGAUACGUUACAUGAUGAGCAGCAACUUGAUACACUUUUUGCUUUCAAACCAACACUUUUUUCACCAAGAUAAAUGAGCUAGUCAAUCAUUACAUUUUAACCAGAUUACAAUCAACAUCUACGCACAGAGAGAGUAUCAUUAUCAUCAUCAAUAUUAUUUCAUCUUGUUCAAUGAAGUCUUUUCAUCACAUCAUUGUUCAUUCACCAUCAAAUAUAAAUGACAUCGUUUUCUUGGAUACAUUAAUCCAAUCAAUCUCACAAGAUCAAAUUGGCAGAUCAACAGAAAAACAAAACAUAAUAUGCGAGAUUUUGGAUUGGAAAUUAUUGAUAUUAAUCGUGACGAUGGUUUAUAUUUAUCUCCAGCCAAAGGAUAAGGAUGCAGAUUGGGAAGUCAAGAUAGAAGAUUAAAUCAACUAAAGGGAAGCAACGAGAAGUAAAUUUAUCAUUGAUAAAUUUUUCCACUAAACAACCAGAAAUUAUAUUAACCUUUCUUCAUGAGUUUCCCAUGAAACGAGUAACAAAAUCAUAUGAAGGAAAAGAAGAAGGAAGAAAAUGACUGAUCAUUUAUUAAUGAUGAUGUGAAAUUUGAUCUUAAUGGUGAUGAGGAAGAUGGAAAAUGAAGGAGAUGAAAGUUCUGAGAGUGUUAAUUUCAUGAUUAAAUUUUAAUUCUCUAAUUGAUAAAUGAAAAGAUUCAAGUAAACAAAUUACAUGAAAUCAAUUACCAAGCAUCAUUGAAACAUAGAUAUCAUGAUGGUCAUAAUUUAGUCAACAAUCAUGAUGGAAACCAUAUACAAGUUGCAACAAUUAAAUGAGUUGAAAAAAAAACUUAACUGAACUUUUUUCAUGUCAGAAUAAGUUAAUGUAUUGAACAAGAAAAUUUAUCAAGAUUUAAGUAUAUGGAAGCUCAUGUUUGGUGAUAAUGAACUCAAAGUGUUUACAUUGGAGGAAAAGAAAGAGAGAAUAAAAAAAUUCUAUUCAUGAAAAGCUGAUUUUCCAUGAUGAUGAAGAAGAUUGGAAAAAGGUUUUUACUAUUAAAAGAAAUCACCAGAGUCUUAAAUAUGAUAAUCAAGAUGAAAAGGAAGAUAAACCAAGUAAACAACAAAGAAACUGGGAGAGAGAGCAACAGUCUAAUCUCCAGGGAGUUUUCCCUCCAAGAUAUUGGUUAUCAUUUGUAGAUAUCAAGGAUAAGAUGAUGAAGAUAUCAAUCAGAUUGACUGAAUAAUCAUGAACUGGACAUUACGAUGAUGUCCAGUUCGUAGUGGUGAUGAUAUCUCAUUGAUUAAGUGAAAAAUAUAAACAUCACUCGUUUGUUUACACUCUGAACUGUAAUCAUGUUGAUUAGCUGGUUGAUCAUUUAGUUGUUGAAUUAACUAUUAUUUGCUAACUUUAACCAAUCAAGGUUGAUUAUAAUCAUCAUCAUUACGAAGCUUCCAGUUAUUUAGUUGAUUGUUAACAAUCAUCAUCAAUUGAUUCAAUGGGAAUGAAAAUGAUAACUCCAAUUGGAAACAGCUUUCCAGUCCAUUUAAUUUAUUGAUUACAAUUUCAAUUCUGUGUGCUCAGAAUAACUAACAAUCAAGGAAAUUAUUAUUAUCAUGGAUUCAGGAUGCUCAUGUCUCAAUCAUGAUGAUGAGGAGGAGGAAGAUAAAAUUAACAUCAUCAUGAGAUGAUAAUAAUUAUUAUCAAAUUUAUGUUCGUGUUGUAAAAUUUUCAUUAGUUUACCUGAUGAAAAUCAUGAUCACACAAUUAAAAUAUUAAUUGUAACCCUUUUUUUGUCAUCGUAACAGUUAAUUGUUUGCAGGUCAAUUGUUUUCAUCUCAACAAUCAAUUAAUCAAUAUAUGUAAACACUAAUAUCAUUGUUAUCAACACUAAUUAAGACCUCAUGAGCUUCAUGUUUUUAAUUGUUUUUUUCUGUCUUUUGUAUUAGAUGAAAAGGAUUUUGUCAACAAUUAAGGAUCACAAUCAAGUUAAUUACUUUGGAUAAACAAUUGAUACUUUUUGGUUGGAUUGGAACUAAAAUUUUCAAAUGAUGAUCAGCAAAUUAUUUCAACGUUGAUGAUUGUUUCUUGUCACGCAAUUGGGAUAAUGAUUAUAUUGAUUAUAAUCAUCUGAUGAUCAGACAAUGAUUAUCAUGGUGAAGAUGAUUUAUCAAUGGAUUGAUGAUAAUUAUAAAUAAAUUCAUAUUUUUAUCCCUUUUUCCUCAUCAAUUCAUCCCUGAUCAUCAUUCAUCAUUCUAGUGAUUAGUUAACAGUUAAUUCAUCAUCUUUUUAAUCAUCAACGAUAAUAAUAACCAUAAUCAAGAGUCAUAAAUAUUGACCUUAAACAACAUUUAAUAUUGAUUGUUACAACAAUUUGAUUAGCCAUCACAACCAAUUGACACUACUAAAUUAUUAUAAUAAAUCAGUAAAUUAAAUUAAUCAUCACGAUGACAAUUAACUCAAACAAACUGAUACAAAUUCAGUUUCAUAAAGUAAUUUGUUAAUUAUCAUCAUUAUGAUGAAUCAUAAUCACUGUUAUUAGUGUUAAUUGUAAUGAUGAUUUCGUGAGUUAUCAAAUUAAGAUAAGUGUUAAUACAAUGAAACGAAAAUGAUCAAACAAUUAAGGAAACGAAUUAAAAUUUAAUUGUUACCCAAAAGACCAAUAAAAAAUAUUCGGUUGCAAUUAAAUUGAUUUUCAAAUAAUCGCUAUUUACUUAACCUUAAGAGUUUAAUUUCCUGAUGAACAUUGAAAAUUUUGCUAUAAUAUAUCAACAAAUUAAAUCGCAAGUAGCACAAUUAGGUUGAAAUAACAAUCAUUUAUCAAUGAAUUCAGUCAAUAGUAGACUAAUUGAAUCAGUCUAAUCUAAGAUAAUCAUUAGAGUAAUUAAAGAUUAUCUUAAUAAAUCAUUUUAAUCAACAGAGAGAUAAACAAGUUCACCUUGCAAAUGCUAAUGGAUUUGAAAGUUAUCAUGAAAAUGAGUAAAACUGAAUAACCACCAAGAGAUAAUCAUCUUUAAAUGGUCAGUACUAUGGUCAGAGAGAGAGAGAGAGUUAAUCAUCAAUUGUAUGG